UACGUAGGGUGCAAGCGUUGUCCGAAGUUACUGGGCGUAAAGCGCGCGUAGGCGGGUUGGCAAGUCCGCUGUGAAAGCCCGGUGCUUAACGCCGGAGGGUCGGUGGAUACUGCCAGUCUUGAAGGUGCUAGGGGAAGAUGGAAUUACCAGUGUAGCGGUGAAAUGCGUAGAUAUUGGUAGGAACACCAGUGGCGAAGGCGGUCUUCUGGAGCACUCUUGACGCUGAGGCGCGAAAGCUGGGGGAGCGAACGGG
Molecule: ribosomal RNA, 253 nt
Filed under: uncultured bacterium
Lineage: Bacteria
Description: partial 16S ribosomal RNA
Rfam family: Bacterial small subunit ribosomal RNA
Source: RNAcentral